This 7167-nucleotide long non-coding RNA is filed under the name Hordeum vulgare. RNAcentral describes it as "long non-coding RNA (HVUL_LNC009180)". Lineage: Eukaryota; Viridiplantae; Streptophyta; Magnoliopsida; Poales; Poaceae. The record is from RNAcentral.
CUGCUUCUUGGUGAUUUUUUUUCCGGCGCUCCGGCCAUGCACGCGGCUGCGCGUCUGCCACGCCCGCUAGGUGUUCGGCGAUUUGCCUCGGCGAUGGACUCCGACGACGUGGAGGCAUUCGCAACGCUAAUGGAAGAGGAAGCCGAUGCCGACACCCAGGAUGAAGAGCACCUCAUGGUCCUCGCCGCUCUGGUGAGCCUGUUCGCGAGCAAUGCAAACCCGAGGCGAGGUGGCUCGGCGUCGGGUCGGCUGAAGGCAAAGCAGGGGCAUCGACUCGAAGGCUAUUGCUUGCUCUACACCGACUACUUCGCCGACGCUCCUCUGCACGGUGACAAACUCUUUCGGCGCCGUUAUCUUAUGAGCCGGAAGCUCUUCCUUAGGGAGUUCGAAAACUACUUCAAGUGCAAAAAGGAUUACACCGGCACACUUGGAUUCACCUCACUCCAGAACUGCACGACAACUACGAGGAUGCUUGCAUACGGAGCUCCCGGUGAUAUUCUGGAAGACUAUGGACGCAUGGCCGAGUCCACCACCGUUGAAUCUUUGUACAAAUUCUACAUGGCAGUUGUGGCAGUAUUUGGACUUCAAUACUUGCGAUCACCCAAUGUUGAAGACACUCCUCGGAUCCUAGCACCGAAUUCAGCAAGAGGAAUUCCUGAGAUGCUUGAAACUAUCGACUGCAUGCAUUGAAAAUGGAAAAAAUAUGCAUUUACUUGGCAGGGGGUGUACAAAGGCGUCAAAGAAGGUUGUAGUGUGGUACUUGAGGUAGUGGCCACACAUAACCUCUGGACUUGGCACUCCUUCUUUGGUAUACCAGGAACUCACAAUGACAUCAACAGACUGCAAUGCUCGAAUGCCUUUGCAAAGCUUGUUGAAGGUCAUGCUCCCCCGAUUAACUAUGAGGUCAAUGGGCACCACUACAACAAGGGAUGCUGCCUAGCAGAUGGCAUCUAUCCGAGAUGGUCCACAUUUGUGAAGACUAUCUCAAACCCUGCACCAGGAGGCAAGAACUUCUACUUUGCCAAGUGUCAAGAAGCUUGUAGGAAGGAUGUCGAGCGAGCAUUUGGUGUGCUCCAAUCUCGUUUUUCUAUUGUUCGAUACUCCGCUCAGACGUGGUCGAAAGAUCAAAUGUGAGAAGACAUGACUUGGUGUGUCAUCUUGCACAACAUGAACAUUGAGAGCGAGCGGGAAGAGCCCGUCUUUGACAUUGAACCAUAUUACAGGCAGGGUCCCCUUGCCCAAGUUGAUCACCAGCUACCGGCAACUUCGAGUGCCUUCAUCAACAUGUGUCAGGAGAUUCGAGACCCACAGGUGCAUCAACAACUAUAAACCGAUUUGGUGGAGUACCUAUGGAGGCUUAAGGGCAACGCCUAGCUCGAUGUGUGAUGAAUUAUGAGUUUUUAUUUGUUGAACUAUUUUGAUUUGUUAAACUAUUUUUGAUUUGUAUUGAUUUCUGUGAUGAACUAUGUGAUAGAAAAAUAAAUGAUUUGUUUAAUUUGUGUUAAAGCAUGCUGAAUAUGGAUCAAAAUUGGUCUCAUUUUGCGUCGAAAGUGAACCAAUUUGCGCUGAAAGUGGGCCAAUUAGCACCGAAAAUGUGCAGAAAUCAGCGGGUGGGGGCGACCUUGGGGGACGGCUGGGAACCCGAGCCUCCCACGUCGAUUUUUCCGCCGACGCGCCUCCAGGAGGCGCUAUUUUACGCCCCGGAAGAUCGAACGGCUGGAGAUGCUCUUAGGGAACCACAUCAUGAUGCAGCUGCUUAUUAAGGAUGUAGUUCUCCACAGCAAUCAUUUGAAACAACUGCUCCUUUCUGUUUGUCUUUCUAAGCUUAAAUGACGUUUAGUUUUGGGGAUCUAAUUUGGACGUUGGAACAUCAGGGCUAAAAUUACACGCUGUAUGUAUCGCAUGAUCGCAAUUGACUCUCAGUUUCCAUGCGUUUGUGCAAUAAUAAUUAAUAAGCUGAAGCUCAAAUUAAUACUUUCUUGUUCUGUUUGCAACAAAGCAGAAGGAGUCUCCACUGAAGGAAUGAAUACUGAGAGUGACAAAUGAUAAGUAGGUGUAUUGGUCUUUGCCAAAUGGGUAUACUCAAUAUAUUUAGAGAUAUAUUAACAAAACAUGCCCAGCAAUCGCUUGGAUGCGAUGCGGACUUAGGUAGGUAAAACAUCAGAUAUUAAAAGUGGCAUGCUUAAAAGGUGUAAAGGCAGCUGCCGUCGUCGCUCCUUGCCGUUGGGUCGUAGUUCUUGGCAUUUUGGUCGGUGCAACCUUCCGGCACGGGCAAAGUACCUUGCUGUGCUCCUUUACCUGCAAUUUAAUUGUUUUGGACGACGUGAUGAGAAGAUGAGCUUGAUAUGCCGGCGGAAGAGCAGGUAAGAAAAACAGGCCUCCACUCCCUUUUUUUUUCCGAAGUAAGAAAGUGAGAAAGAAGUAUGCAUGUAAAGUAGUUGCUGAAAGUAUAAGAAGAUUGUGCGUAGUUCACCUCCUCCUAUGCAGCAAGAGAUGGUGGGUGUGUAUGGAGAAUUUUCUAACCGUAGAAGGAACCAGUCUUCAUCGCAUCCUGGUUAGCAUCACCCAGAGCUGCCUGGCUCAUGUAGGUGUCAGCAAGCUGCACACGCUUGACAUUGUCCUGCUCCUGGACGAGCAUGUGCCCGUACUCUAGCAGCUUCUCGACUGUCAUCUUUGGCUGCUCGAAGGUCACGGGCCCGUCCCGCGAGUUCACCAGCCUCUUGCCAAUGUUCUCGAUUCCGGUAGAGCCGACCCACUUGCGCACCUCAUCGUCGUACACCCGAGCACGCAGAGCACCGAAAAAGUCUGUAUCGGAUCGAUGCAUGAUACUUUGUUAAUUACUGAUAUACAACUUGUCUGCCCUGAUGAAUAUAUAUAUAUAUAUUUGGAAACAAGAGAAAUAUACCAAUGGAUUGUCCUGGGAAGGUGUCGACGAUCUUGACGACAGACUCGUCACUGACAUUGUCGGUCUGGAAGAUACCCUUGCAGACACCGAUACGGUCGUCACGGGUGGGAGCCCAGUAGAACUUCUCCAUACGACCAUCACGGAUCAGAGGAGCGUAGAGCGUCGAGAAAUCGUUACCGGUGACGACGAUGGGCACACGGGGGUUCUCCUCCUUGUUGUACAUGCCAGGGAGCUGCACGUUGGUGGGGGCAUCGGCGAUGUUCAUCAGGGUGGCGUUCACCAUCUGGUUGUUGACGGUGUACUGCGUGGUUCCGCCCAUCCUACCCGCACCAGCGUCAAGAUCGUUGAUGAAGAGGCAGCACAUCUUACCCUUCUUGAUCAUGUCUGCAGCCUCACGGUACCGCUGCCUGAUGAGCUUGGCUGGCUCUCCAGCGUUCCCACUCUCCAGCUCUCCGGCACUCAUCAUGAUGGGGCUGUGGCAAAAAGCACAGGUCAUUAUCUAUUAUUACUAUUAUCUUAUACUCCCUCUGUUCUUAAAUAUAAGUCUUUUAAGCGAUUUCAUCAAGAAACUACAUACAAAACAAAAAGAAUGAAUCUACACUCUAAAGUAUGUCUAUAUACAUCCGUAUGUAGUCCUUUAGUGAAAUCUCUAAAAUGACUUAUAUUAUGGAACGGAGGGAGUAGUAUUUCUUUAGGGAGGAAGUAGAUGAAUGUAAAUUCUUACUUGAUGCCCAUCUUGGCGAACACAAGCUCACACUGGAAUGAUUUUCCUUGACCCUUGCCUCCCCAGAUACCCAAGAUGAGUGGGAUCUGAAUUUCGAUUCAAGGUCAGUUUCAGAAUCAGAAUGAUUCAUUUUAUUGCUGCUUCUGCUAAUAAUCAAUUAAAUUAAAUAACGAUGUCUGCAUGCAUCGAUUAAUUCAACCUCCUUUUUUCAAAAAAAGAAAAGAANNNNNNNNNNNNNNNNNNNNNNNNNNNNNNNNNNNNNNNNNNNNNNNNNNNNNNNNNNNNNNNNNNNNNNNNNNNNNNNNNNNNNNNNNNNNNNNNNNNNNNNNNNNNNNNNNNNNNNNNNNNNNNNNNNNNNNNNNNNNNNNNNNNNNNNNNNNNNNNNNNNNNNNNNNNNNNNNNNNNNNNNNNNNNNNNNNNNNNNNNNNNNNNNNNNNNNNNNNNNNNNNNNNNNNNNNNNNNNNNNNNNNNNNNNNNNNNNNNNNNNNNNNNNNNNNNNNNNNNNNNNNNNNNNNNNNNNNNNNNNNNNNNNNNNNNNNNNNNNNNNNNNNNNNNNNNNNNNNNNNNNNAGGUACCUUGAUGUUGGGCAGGGUCAUGAAGUUUUUGGAGAGAUGGACAACAAGCUUGUCCAUGAAAGCAGGAGCGAUGUAGAAGCCUCCCAUGGUGUUGUCGAAGUCGUACUUCCGCAGGCCCUGGCUGACGUACUCGUAGGAGCUGAGGACGGCCUCGUGGGUGCCGUCGCCCGUGGGCGCCUGGAAGAGCGAGUCCACGAUGCCCUUCCCUCUGGUGAUGUCCUGCUGGUCGUCGGAGAUAUCGUACGCAAGACCCUUCCACUUGUCGGUGUUCCUCUUCUCGUCGAUGUUCUCCGCUGCCAUGACUGUGAACCUGUUGGCCUUGGAGCUCUUGCCAUGGUAGUUCACGGCCGAGGUCACCUGCUUCUUGAGCUUCUUCCCGAGGAAGUUGGUCGGCGUAGAAGCCUGUAUACAUUACAUUACAUUACAUAUACACACAUGAGAUGCCGCUGAAGACACUGAUAGGAUAUCAUCACUAAGCAAGAGAUGCAAUCAAUCAAUCGAUCGAUCAGUGUGUGGUACGCACCGGAGCCCCGACGGUGGAGGAGAAGGCAGCAGCCAUCUCUGUGCUGCUUGGUCGACCUUGCUAGCAACGGUGGAUGCGCGCGGCUGUGCUGGUGAUCAGUGAUGAAUGACUGCUGCUGCUCAAAGUAUAGAGGCCGAGCUAUGUGACGCCUUAAAUACACGUGGAUUGGCAUAUUGCUGCUCUGCUGUGGGGAGCUUGGAGGAGGAGGCGGCAUACACACACCCCUGCUUGUGGAUCAGCCUCCCGAUCCCCCAGAGGCCACACGCUGGAGAUUGGGUUCUGAGCGUCUUGGCCGGCCGGUUGGAUGACUUGGACCGUCAAGACCAAACGCUGCAGCUGCAGCUGCAGAUACGUCUGCUGGCCAUCAAUUCCAUGGCCUUCCACGGCCACAGAAUCUAACCAUUCAUGCUCAAAUCAUCUCCCAUUUCUUCCGUGCCUUUCAUUUUUUCCUUUCACUCGGUCGCCCGUAUAUACUAUCUUGUUUAUUAGCCAAGCCAUGUCAUUGCAUAACCACAAAAAAAGGGUCUCUCGUUGCUUGUUGGAUGAGGCACCCAAGAUUGUAUUCUAGUUCCAAGUACCACAAAUUUGUUGCUGCCAUACAUAUACUGGUUUGUUGAUAACCAUCAAGCUAGGGAUGUCAUUUGGCACCACACAAAUCAAGUCCUGGUUGACAUCAAGCACAUGGGUUUGUACUUUUGUCUACUCCAAUAAAUAUUGCCACUUCGGUAAAAAAAAAUGAAGCGUAUUAAGAGAAAAGGUAGCCAUGCAGUUUUGCUUUGAUGAAAAGAUUAUAGAACGUGUCUAAUGUUUUCAUGUAAAUGUAAUUCGUGUUGCCUAGCUCAAGUUCCCUGCUGGUAUUCUCAUUGUUUGGGUCUAGUACAGACCAUUAAUUGAUCAUUACGAUGAAUGCGAGCCGUUUGGCUCGCACAAUCUUUGUCCAAUACACCUUCUAGUGAUGUUGUCCUUGUUAAUCAACUUUGUGGUGCAAAUUGGGGUUUCCGUAAUCCGUCAAAGGGAAAAUAUGUAUGUAUGUGAUGAGUCAUGACCCCCCACAUCCACAGUACUCGUACCUAAUCAACAAGCUUCAGAUGAUUUCCACAUAUGUGCUAAUCUUCCGACAAGUGCUAAUAUCAAGAGAUAUAUAGGUUGUUGGGACUUGGGACCCUAGCUUGCAUCCAUUGGAGAAAUGAUUAAGCGGAAAAUGACGAUUUAAGAACAUAUACAAUUCCUUUCUCUUUCAAGAAGAGACUUACAAUUGGGUUACCUGUGCGGCGAUGAAUCAAAAAGUUUGAGUGGAUUUCGGGUCCAAAAUAGUCCAACAUAUAUAUAGUGCAUGCAUGCAUCUUAAGUAGAGUAGGACCUUCUACUUGCCGUAGAAGGCACCGGUCUUCAUGGCGUCGUCGUUGGCUUGGCCGAGCGCCGCCUCGCUGAGGUACUUGUCGGCGAGCUGCACACGCUUGACGUUCUCCUGCUCCUGGACCAGCAUGUGGCCGUACUCCAUGAGCUUCUCUAUGGUCAUCUUGGGCUGGUCGAACGUGGGCGGCCCCUCCCUGGAGUUGACGAGGCGCUUGGAGAUGUUCUCCACGCCGAUCUCGCCGACCCACUUGCGCACCUCGUCGUCGUACACCCGUGCCCGCAGCGCGCCGAAGAAGUCGAUGGACUGCCCCGGGAAGGUGUCCACCAGCCUCACCACGGCCUCGUCCGGGACGUUGUCGGUGCGGAAGAUGCCCUUGCACACGCCGAUGCGGUCCUCGCGGGUGGGCGCCCAGUAGAACUUCUCCAUGCGCCCGUCACGGAUCAGGGGAGCGUACAGCGUCGAGAAGUCGUUGCCGGUGACGAUGAUGGGCACGCGGGGGUUCUCCUCCUUGUUGUACAUCCCCGGGAGCUGCACGUUGGUGGGCGCGUCCGCGAUGUUCAUCAGGGUGGCGUUCACCAUCUGGUUGUUCACCGUGUACUGCGUCGUCCCGCCCAUCCGGCCCGCGCCGGCGUCCAGGUCGUUGAUGAAGAGGCAGCACAUCUUGCCCUUGUUGAUAAUGUCGGCCGCCUCGCGGUACCUCUGCCGGAUCAGCUUGGCCGGCUCGCCGGCGUUGCCGCUCUCCAGCUCACCGGCGCUCAUCAUGAUGGGGUUGAUGCCCAUCUUGGCGAACACCAGCUCACACUGGAACGACUUGCCCUGUCCCUUGCCUCCCCAGAUACCCAGGAUGAGAGGAACCUUGAUGUUGGGGAGUGUCAUGAAGUUCUUGGCGAGGUGGACGAUGAGCUUGUCCAUGAAUGCCGGCGCGAUGUACAGCCCGUCCAUGGUGUUGUCGAAGUCGUACUUCCGCAGGCCCUGGCUGAUGUACUCGUAGGAGCUUAGGAUGGCCUCGUGGGUGCCGUCGCCCAUGGGGGCCUGGAACAGGGAGUCCACGAUGCCUUUCCCCCGAGUGAUGUCCUGCUGGUC